AACGCACGAGACCUGCGGACCUGCGGAGGGAUCAUUACUGAGUAACGUGGUCUUUUAGACCCGGUACCCGCCCUUUGUCAUAUGUUGGACGAGGUCGUCUUUAGGGGCGGCCUCCGACCCCACUUCCCGGGAAGCGUUGCGCCUCAUCAGGUCUAGGCCUUUGAUGAGGAUGGGACCGCCCGGGGUCUUUUUCAAACCCUUUGUGAGAAAUCUGAAGUCUGAAGCGAAAGCUUAAAAUAA
RNAcentral lists this unclassified non-coding RNA (240 nucleotides) under soil metagenome. RNAcentral describes it as "partial contains 5.8S ribosomal RNA, internal transcribed spacer 2, and large subunit ribosomal RNA". The record is from RNAcentral.